Molecule: long non-coding RNA, 704 nt
Organism: Thunnus maccoyii (southern bluefin tuna)
Lineage: Eukaryota; Metazoa; Chordata; Actinopteri; Scombriformes; Scombridae
Exons: 3
Source: RefSeq, a predicted model, not a curated record
CAUAAACCAACUUGGCUAACUCGGAUUAAGCCCAUGGGAUGUGGCUGAAACCUCCGGUAAAACAUCUAUUAAACUGACUGAUUGUUUGUGUCUUGGCAUUUCCUUGACUCUGACACAGAGGUCAAGACAAACUUCUGAUUCCCUGCGGCUGCUUCACUGUACCCAAGAUGGACAAACACAGCUGCAAAGCUAACCAGCUCCUGACCAUACAUGGCUGCAGUGAGAGGGACAGCUUCUGAUACUGUAAGCCUCGCCCAGCGGCUCUGGAUUUACCACAUACUGAUGGGAUUGCUCACUCCACCUCCAGACCUGCUGGCUUCUUUGGCCCUGAAAUCUCUCUUCCACCUUCUCUGUGCACUGAGCCUCCAUCCUCUGCCUGUGUGUCUCCUCCUGUGUGAGCAGUUGUCACUCCUGUCUGACUCACCUUCAUAUGUUCACUCUUCAUAGCAGUCCCUUCUAGCUCGCCCCUUUUACUCACUUUGGGGCCUGUGCACCAUUUUAGAAACAGCCCAAACACCACCACCAUUACCUUUUACAAUUCCAGCUACUCAGAGAGGGAGGGCUGUGCUCUGAACACACUGAGCACUCAGCCAGCAUUUUCAUUUUCUUCUGAAGCCGGAAAAACAAAGGAAACCAUAUUAUAUUGGUUCUGUCAGAUUAUCUUUGUUAUGAAGAUGCUACAAAAUAACAGGAACACCUUACAA